ACCUCAACUCAGGCAAGAGUACCCGCUGAACUUAAGCAUAUCAGUAAGCGGAGGAAAAGAAAACAACAGUGAUUCCCUCAGUAACUGCGAGUGAAGUGGGAAGAGCCCAGCGUUGAAUCGCUCAUAUCUGUGAGUCCUAAAGCAGAUUGCGAGUAAUCUCAUGUCUCCUAGUAACAUAGGAGGCGUGAGAAUGUGUUGAAUCGCGAGCGAAUUGUAACGUACGGACUCACUGCAUCGAGUGUGUGCGUGUUGUCAAAGUUUUCCUGGAAAGAAGCGCCAUAGAGGGUGAUGGCCCCGUGUGUGGCAACAUGAGUGCUGUGUGAGCACACGCUUGCCUGGGCUAUAGUGCUCUAGCCGAAAGGUUGGUGCACUAUAGUCAUUCUCAGGUGUGGCAGUGAGUUUUCAAUGGUGUGAGGACAUGCAGAUGUCCCAUCAUUGGUGAUUCCAUGAGUCGGGUUGUUUGGGAUUGCAGCCCAAAGAGGGUGGUAGACUCCACCCAAGGCUAAAUACUUGCACAAAACCGAUAGCGAACAAGUACCGUGAGGGAAAGUUGAAAAGCAUUCCGAAAGGAAGGUCAAACAGGACGUGAAACCGUUAAAGGGGAAGCGGAUGGAUGGGUCGAACCAUCAUUGGCAUGGCACAGUGUCUCUACUCCUCGUGGGUAGAGGCACUAACAAUUAAGCAUGUAUGUGUUGUAUCAGCCUCCGCGUCUGGGACAGCACUGUGUGGUGAUGAUAAGAGACACUGCCUUGAAUCUACGCUUGCAGCAAUGUGAGUGGUGCGCAACCUCCGCAUCCCCAUGCAGUGUCAAAUGUGCGUGUAAGCGUACAGCUACCAGGCGUAAGCUAGCUAGUAGGAGGAGCCGAAACAGUCGUUGUGAGUACGGCCAGGACAGGCUGGGCAAUUGUCUGUGUGGCAUCCACUGCACUUAGCCACUCUCACCAGUGGUGUUAGUGUGUGGGCCAUGCCAUCGGAUAGUUGUUACCUGUAGCGCAACUCAGUUGCGUAUGCAAUGCUUAUGGCUUGCCAGAUUGCCUCUCAGGUGUGCCCUGUGCGUACCUAUGUGUUGUGUUGAAGUGAGCACGAGAGGCCGAGCAGUGACCGCAUUUGUGUGACCUGGUAUUGGUACAAUAUCAUCAUCAUUAUCAAGUUUCGUUCAUGAUGACUGAGAAUGUUGCGCCGUUGAGGCGAUGCUGUGUGCUCCAUCAGCAAUGGAGUGUGUUGUGCGUAAUGUGAGCCCUGUCCCCUGGAAGCACUCACGGCGCUGGCCAGUGCCCUCCAGCACUACCGUCUGCGUCUCACGAUGUAGACGCGUGUUGUGGCAUUGACUCGCCGUGAGCUGUGCGUACUAUGUAUGUACUAGUGGCGAUACCUCAUUCGUGCGGGGUGUGUCGUACCAGUGGCUGGCUUCUCACCAAGUCAGACCUGCCGUGUCAUCGUGCAUAUGCUCUCGGGUGUGUGUGGUGGCUAUCCCCGGCAACUGGUACCGGUGCACUGCGAAUGUGGGUGAGACCUCCGGCCAGUGUCCGAAUCUCAUCACUGGCUUCUCAGCUGUGGGAACGAUCUGUCAAAGGAUUGACCUGCCGUUUGUCACUCUUCCAGCGAUUCUUGAGAGCCAUAUACGCUGGGCCACAUGUUGGCUCGGUGUGCGAUCAUCAUCGUGUGUUGCAGCAGUCACCGUCUUUGGCGGUGGCGCAAAUGAUUAAAAUAACCAGGACAUGGGAUACGCGUGACUAAACAAAACACAGCUAAUUUUCGGCGAGACACCAAUCCAUCCGACCCGUCUUGAAACACGGACCAAGGAGCCUAACAUAUACGCAAGUCAAAGGGUGACUGAAACCCAAGAUUGUGCGUAACAUACGCACCGCACGGUCAUGAUCGACCGUGUGUACAUCAUCAAUUUGAUUAUUGUGAGUGACGAGGCGUAAUGAAAGUGACCACCAGUUGUGGUGAUGAGAUGGGAUCCGACUGGGAUGGUCGUGGUGGCCUAACAAGCUGCUGCUACUGAGAUUCGGCAGAUCUGGGUGGUAGAAAACUGCGCUGGUUCCCUCCGGUGUGGGGUAUGUGGUGUGUCAAAGCAUCACAAUCACCGUGCCGGUGCACUGGCCACGCCCGUAUCGUCACCACCACCAUGUGUUGAGUGGUGAAGAAACAACCACCAUGAGAGUGGCAAAGGUACGAAGCGUGCACGGUGGGUAAUAGCACCGUCACCCAGCGGCCAUCCAGCACCGGCGCACCAUCAGCCGGCUUGCAUGUUGGUGCGAGUUGAGCGAGAGCGUAUAUGAUAGAACCCGAAAGAUGGUGAACUAUUCCUGGGUAGGGCGAAGCCGGAGGAAACUCCGGUGGAGGCUCGCAGCGAUUCUGACGUGCAAAUCGAUCGUCAAACCUGGGUAUAGGGGCGAAAGACUAAUCGAACCAUCUAGUAGCUGGUUCCUUCCGAAAUAUCCCUCAGGAUCGCUGAGACCUGACCUAAAACACUCAUCAUGUGCGUGUGUGUGUGCGUCUGUCAAAGCACCACCCGUGAGAGUACGGUAGUUUCAUCGGGUAGAGCUAAUGAUUAGAGUCAUUUGGGAGCUACUGCUCCUGGAACUAUUCUCAAACUGCCAACCGGUGACUAUCACCAAUGAUUUCUUUGAUGCUUCGCGUCAGUGACUCAGUGUUCCCAUGCGCAUCGUAAGAUGUGCCUGGGCGCUGUGGUGGUACAGGCACGUUGUGUGCAGCGUGUCUGGCUGGCGCGAGGUGGCUUGAACUGGCCAGUGAGACAAUCGUCAAGUCUCCCUGUGGCACAGGCAGGUUCGCCCGUGUGUCAGCUCUGCCUCCGCCAGUAUGACGGUUCGCCGAAGUACUGUGUGUGAUGGUGGGGCUGGGGCACGGUGCUAGUCUGUGUUGGUGUCACUGUGGAACUUUGACGGUCAGUCAGCAGUGUGUGCGUGAGUGCAGGCUGCCGGUGGAAGAAACACAAGUUGACUCACGUUGGCUGGCUUGCCAGUCAACUCGCCGGUGGCCCCAGUCAGGAGGUGUGUUGAAAGCUUGCGAGGUUACUCUACUACAAUUGUGCGUGUCAUGCGUGCAUCAUCGUUGAAUGGUCCUCACAGCUGGGACUGAACAUUGUCUGCGCUCAUUGGCCCCGUUCCAAGUCACGCGUACUGAUGGGUACGAGCGUGUGAGACCCUUAACCGGGCUCUAUUUGUUGUAAGAAUGAAUCAUUGGUCCACCGACCAGGAACUGUGGGCAGUGGUAAAACACUGUUACACACAACUAGUCGGUACUGCAACGCGAGAGCGUAAUGCAGCUAAAAUGAAUACCAGGGUCUCAAGUGGGCCGUUUCUGGUAAGCAGAACUGGCGAUGCGGGAUGAACCGAGAGUUGAGUUAAGGUGCCUAAACUAGUGCUCACGGAAACCACGAAGAUUGUACAUCGGUAGAGAUAGCAAGGCUGUGGGCAUGGAAGUCGUCACCAGCUAAGAAACGUGUCAUAACGUACUUGUUGAACACCGGUGUGCGUCGAAGAUGGAUGGCGCUAAGCACUAUACCGAUACUCAACCAUCGAUGUACGAAAUGAAUGAAGGAUCGAUGGGUAGGAAGGCGCGACGGUUUUUGCAGUCUGGCUGGCUGUCUGUGGCCCUGGCUCAUGUGUGUCGCUCAGUUCCAUGUGAACGCGACAAGCCAUCGGUGUCACAGCGGUCUGAGUAUUUACCAGAUUGGCAUGCACACACUCGUGUGUGCUUGUAAAGUGCCGCUGCAAUUUUUGUGGAUAUGCUGAGAAGGAUUUGAGACGUGAGUCUAUCCGGAGCAGCCGUCGGUGCAGAUCUUGGUGGUAGUAGCAACUAUUCGAAUGAGAACUUUGAAGGCCGAGGUGGAGACGGGUUCCACGUGAACAGCAUUUGGACGUGGGUUAGUCGGUCCUAAGCAGUCGCCUAACAGCAUGUUUCAGGCAAAGGGAGCGGGACCGUUCGCAGGUUCAGCUCCAAGGCUGCGAAAGGGAAUCAGGUUAAUAUUCCUGAACCAAGUGGCGGUUGGUGUGCCUCACCGUGUGUCCGGUGCCGGGCGUGAUGUCGCGAAAGCACAUCUGCUCGCACCUCAUACGGUAGCACACACACAUACACGGAGAUGCUCUUGGGGUACGUGAUAGCGAGAGCUGUCAUGGGUCGUUAUGUGCGCCCACUGGCGUUCACUCCACAGAGCUAGGCGGUAACGCAAGCAAACUCGGAGACACCCUUCAUGGCUCUGGAAAGAGUUAUCUUUUCUUGUUAACAGGCCAAGUGAUACGCCCCGGAAAAGAGUCAGUCUGAGAGGGGGCCGUGGGCCUGGAAGAGCAUCGCAGUUUCAGCGGUGUCCGGUGUGCCAUGGUAUCGAGGGUCCGUGAAAAUCCGAGGGCGCGAGCCACGUGUGUCAAACACAUGCGUGAGUGUAAUUUCGCACUUGUCCGUACCGAAUCCGCAUCAGGUCUCCAAGGUGAACAGCCUCUGGCGUGAAACAAUGUAGGUAAGGGAAGUCGGCAAAAUCGAUCCGUAACUUCGGGACAAGGAUUGGCUCUAAGGGUUGAGUCAUCCGGGCCGCGCGUGAAUUGCGUCCUGAAAUAUGUUCGUGUUCCAUGUUGCCGGUGUGUUCGAUGACUCUGUGGUGGUGGUGUGUUGUGAAAAGCACACCAUCAUAUAUCAAGCAGAUCUUGAUCAUUAGUCAACUGUUCGUUGCCUCGUGACUCUGUGUACGUCACAGGGUCAGUCCUGUGAGUCCAUGAGAAUGGGCUCAUUGAUGGGCAGCGAGGAUAUUGACGUCUUUUGCCACCAGCGACGUACGCGGUUGAGACCAGGCGUGUGUUGAGUGUGCCUGCUAUGUGCCGGCGUAUUUAUCGCCUGGAAUCCCCGGUGGUGGCGUGUGGGUGUUCAUCUACCCACACAGUCCACUGCCGAUUCGCCCUAACCGGGUGUUUGGGUGUGGUCAGUGUGCCAGAGUACUGUGUAUUAUCACCAUCACUGGUUACUCUCAGUGUGUGGGAUCGGUGUGACGUCCAUGAUGAUGCAUGGUGGUGCGUGGUUCUGCCAGCCCGCCCUCUCUCAUGGGCGUCAUCAAACGCACCAUCUCACAGUUUUACACGGUGCCCUGGUAGGGCGCCUCCUGGCACUGCUGCACGUGCUCACAAGGCCGUGUGGUGCUGGCCAUGCUCGGCGGAUGGCGAGUGAACAACCAACUUAGAACUGUCACUAACUCGGGGAAUCCGACUGUUUAAUUAAAACAAAGCAUUGCGAUGGCUGGAAACGGUGUUGAUGCAAUGUGAUUUCUGCCCAGUGCUCUGAAUGUUAAAGUGCGGAAACGCAACCAAGCUCGGGUAAACGGCCGGAGUAACUAUGACUCUGUGAAGGUAGCCAAAUGCCUCGUCAUCUAAUUAGUGACGCGCACGAAUGGAUUAAUGAGAUUCCCACUGUCCCUACCUACCAUUCAGCGAAACCACAGUCAAGGGAACGGGCUUGACUGAGACAGCGGGGAAAGAAGACCCUGUUGAGCUUGACUCUAGUUUGACUUUGUGAGAAGACACUGGAGGUGUAGAAUAGGUGGGAGGCAUACGCUUCGGCAGUGUGAUGCUGCCAGCAGCAAUGCUAGCAGUCUCACACUGCUCUGUGUGUCGAUCGUGAAAUACCACCACUCUGGUCGUUUUUUUACUGACUCGGUGAUGCAGGAAGGAUCACCUCCACAUAUCCGGUACAUGCCACGCAUUCUCGGAUGGUGCGGUGCUGAUGUGGGUUCGUCCCACCAUCCUCAUGCGCACCUACUCCUUAGAAUGCGCGCAGUGUGUGCCGCUGUGGGGUGCUGGUUCGUUGCUUUGCUUUUAAAGCAGAUUGCUUCACACACCAUUAUGUGUGGUGUGGGAGCAGUUGUGCUGACCUGUGAGGCUGGCUCUACGUGGCCGCUGCAAUAGCGUACACGCGUCACCCUCCUAGACAGCGCAGCAGCAGCCGUGUUGUUGGUGGUACCUGGCUUGUGUGUGGUGAUGUGAGCUGGUGGUGAUGCGGGCAACCGUGUUGUCACUGGCUCACACUCAUCCUCAGGGGUCAUUGCCAUCGCAGUGCGGUAUGUGACCCGACGACUGCGCUGCUGCUAUAACAGUGCGCGAGCGAGUGUCAUUUGUGUCUGUUGUGAUGAUUUGCCGAGGACAGAGUCAGAUGGGGAGUUUGACUGGGGCGGUACAUCCUUUAUAACACAACGAGGAUGUCCUAAGGCGAGCUCACCGUGGACAGUAACCACGGGUAGAACAUAAGGGUAAAAGCUCGCUUGAUUCACAUUCUCAGUAUGAAUGCGAACCGCGAAAGCGUGGCCUAACGAUCCUUUAAAAUAACACACCUGAGAGUUUCAGGUUAGAGGUGUCAGAAAAGUUACCACAGGGAUAACUGGCUUGUGGCAGCCAAGCGCUAUAGCGACGUUGCCGUUUGAUCCUUCGAUGUCGGCUCUUCCUAUCAUUGGAUUGCAGAAGGUCCAAAGUGUUGGAUUGUUCACCCACCAACAGGGAACGUGAGCUGGGUUUAGACCGUCGCGAGACAGGUUAGUUUUACCCUACUGUCUCUCUGUGUGAUGAGAUCUCUCUACUAACAGUAUAUCAAUGCAGAGUGCACUGCGAUAGUAAUUUCGGUUAGUACGGAAGGAACCCUGAAAUCGGAUGAUCGGUGCAGCGCUUGGCUGAUGAGCCAGUGGCGCAACGCUGUCAUCCGUAGGAUAAUGACUGAAAUCCUCUAAGUCA
RNAcentral lists this ribosomal RNA (6731 nucleotides) under Sphaerospora molnari. RNAcentral's name for it is "partial 28S ribosomal RNA". The stretch from base 3184 to 6731 matches the Rfam family "Eukaryotic large subunit ribosomal RNA". The record is from RNAcentral. Lineage: Eukaryota; Metazoa; Cnidaria; Myxozoa; Bivalvulida; Sphaerosporidae.